RNAcentral lists this long non-coding RNA (2326 nucleotides) under Mytilus galloprovincialis (Mediterranean mussel). Lineage: Eukaryota; Metazoa; Mollusca; Bivalvia; Mytilida; Mytilidae. The record is from RNAcentral.
CCUUGACCUUUCUUAUGUCAAUUAUUAGGACGGUCUGAAAAAAAGACAGUCAUUGUCAUGUGUAUGCUUUUUAAAUUUUUAUUUAUUGUGUGAAUUGCAGAAGACUCGUAUGAUAUUUUAUUGCGUGCACACAAGCCCAGGUACAAGUGGACAUAGAAAUUAUUCAUUCCGCGUGGUAUUUCUCUCUUCUGUCUACUAAUAGAUAUUUUUUUUUCACCUGACCCGGACGUGACGUACGUCAACAACUGGAGGGAGAUAUAUAAAGGUUGGGAUUCCACGGUUAUCUAAUUUGGAUUUAGCCAAACAUAUCAAAACCAUAUAUGCUGUAAGUAUUUAACGUACACAUAGCACCAUAUAGAUAUUGAGAACCUACAAAACAAAUAAAAAACGGGUUCGAAAUGUUCUGACUUAUGUAAUCGCCUAUGUUUCAGUAAGUCGGUCACCAGUGUCAGUGAAGUUGGUUCGUCUAAACGCCGGUAACGGAGUCUAAUAUUUGAGUUACAACUUCAACCAAAUUGUUUUUCAAGUGUUAAAAUUCUGUUAACUUAAUUGCAAACAAAGAGACGUAUAAGUAAAAAAGUUUAGACAAGGAGCUGACAGAAGAGGAUUCCUCAGGAAUCCUACAGUCAGAAGAGGAUCUGUGAGUAUCUGUGAGUAUAAGUGUAAAGCAAAAUAUUGGGUACCACAAGACAAUAUUUCAUAUAUGUAUCAUGAAAUAUUGUCCUCGUCUAUGGAAAAAUGUCAGAGAGGACAAUUGCAUAGUGAAAUUGUGUCUGUAUUAAGACAAUAUUUAUAGAUGAAUACUAUGGAAUUUUGUCUUUUAAAGGGAGGUUAAUUUUGUGUGAAUUAAGACAAUAUUUCAAGAUAAAUACUACAAAAUUGUGUCCUGUUAAAGGGAGGUAUAUUUUGUUAUAUUCGUAGUAUGAAGAUAAUUGCAUAGACAGAUUGUCAUGAAAUUUUGUCUCAUGAAUGGGAAGUUAUCAACAUAUAUUCAUGUAUAUGAUUUGAUGGCCUUAUUAUUGGAACCCCACUUUUUUUGGACAAUCAAUGCAUUUGAAUGGGGACAUAUAGUUGGAACCUAAAACCCCCCCCCCCAUCCACACUUUAUCCUGGGUUGGGAACCCCCCUUUUUAAAAUGGCUGGAUCCGCCCCUGUCUUAGCAGUUUAUUGUUGGAUCUGCUGAUCACCAGAAUAUAAUAUUACAGCGCUAUGUUAUCAAGGUGUCAGACAUAUGUCAGAUAUGUUUUUUUUAAAUCUUAACCAAGAUGCUAUUCCAAAUUCAAAUAAAUUAGUUAAUAGAUUAAGAAUGGAUAAAAAUUGUGCCUUAAUCAUAAUAAUAUCAGGGAAACAUUUGAUGCUCUUUGAAAAAUACAGAGGAGAACAGGGUGAAACUUGCAUAUUUAUACUUUAAAAUUCCAUUAUUAGUUUGGUUCUAAUGAUAAUGUUCAAUUAUCCCCCUUUUUUUUGCUGUGUUGCCAGUGAAAUAUAUUUAUCCAUGAAAUUGAAUUACCCAGAUUGCAUACAUGUAUGUUGGUAUUAAUAUUGAUUAACUCAUAGGGUGUUUGCAUUGGAAAUAAACAUAUUUAUUUUAAAACCAGUUGUUGGCAAUGGCAUGAUAUGGGUUAUGUUCUGAAAUAUUUUAUAAUGGCAUAAUGCUAAACCUGUAACAGGAGGGGGUUGUGCUAUAUUUUCAUAUGUUGAAGACAUACUUAAUCUUUCUUCUUUAAAACUGAGUUAACUGUGCAUAUUAAUUGUUCUGAGGUAGAAUAAUUAGCUAGAGGUAUAGAGGGGAGGGUUGAGAUCUUACAAAAACAUUAUUAACCCAGCUAAUUUAGUGCCUGUCUCAAGUCAAGGCCUCUAGAAUUUGUUAGUCUUGUAUGAUUUUGUAUUUUAUUUUAUUUUAUUGUCUCUGUGACAUAUUCUCCGUUUCCAUUCUCAAUUUUUAUACAUGUACAUGUACAUGUAUGUCAAGUUUAGAAAAGUUGUACAUCAUGUACAUUUUUUACAUGUAAAUAAAUUGAAAAGAGAAUUUGAUGUUAACAAAAUAAGAAGAAAAAACCCUACUUUACAAAUGAGGACGAUUUUUAUUGAUCCUAGCUGGUUGCAUGCUUAUUUUACCUCUGAAAAAAAAUCUAGGUCCAAUGUAAAUGACUCUGUCUGAAAAAAAUCUAGGUUCAAUAUGUACAUGAUAUAAAAUGAAUUACAAUUUAUAUCAGCUCAUGUACAAAUGUGAUUUGUUUUUAUGAUUUUCAGUUUGUUGAAAAUUAGAGUAAAGAGUUAUGCCUGAACCAGAAUUAUUAGGAUAUAAGCCUACAGCUACAGAAGG